UACAUGGGGUGCAAACGUUGCUCGGAAUUAUUGGGCGUAAAGCGCACGUAGGCGGUUCGUUAAGUCGGAUGUGAAAGCCCUCGGCUCAACUGAGGAAGUGCACCCGAAACUGGCGAGCUUGAGUACGAAAGAGGAUCGCGGAAUUCCCGGUGUAGAGGUGAAAUUCGUAGAUAUCGGGAGGAACACCGGUGGCGAAGGCGGCGAUCUGGGUCGAUACUGACGCGUGAGGUGCGAAAGCGUGGGGAGCGAACAGG
RNAcentral lists this ribosomal RNA (254 nucleotides) under uncultured bacterium. RNAcentral's name for it is "partial 16S ribosomal RNA". It matches the Rfam family "Bacterial small subunit ribosomal RNA", at positions 524 to 776 of the family's 1533-position model. The record is from RNAcentral.